UACGUAGGGGGCAAGCGUUGUCCGGAAUCAUUGGGCGUAAAGCGCGCGUAGGCGGUCCGAUAAGUCUGCUGUGAAAGUCGGGGGCUCAACCCUCGGAUGCCGGUGGAUACUGUCGGGCUUGAGUGCGGAAGAGGCGAGUGGAAUUCCUGGUGUAGCGGUGAAAUGCGCAGAUAUCAGGAGGAACACCAAUUGCGAAGGCAGCUCGCUGGGACGUUACUGACGCUGAUGCGCGAAGGCGUGGGGAGCAAACAGG
RNAcentral lists this ribosomal RNA (253 nucleotides) under uncultured bacterium. RNAcentral's name for it is "partial 16S ribosomal RNA". It matches the Rfam family "Bacterial small subunit ribosomal RNA", at positions 524 to 776 of the family's 1533-position model. The record is from RNAcentral.